This 238-nucleotide unclassified non-coding RNA is filed under the name Hevea brasiliensis (rubber tree). The record is from RNAcentral. Lineage: Eukaryota; Viridiplantae; Streptophyta; Magnoliopsida; Malpighiales; Euphorbiaceae.
AGAAGCCCGGCUCGUGAGCCGGGCUAGGAGGUUCAAAAUGUUUGAACCGAUUGGUUCUGGCGGAUUAAGCCAUCUCAAACCAAACGCGAUUAAUGGCUUCGACGUCGGCGGGGGGGGGCGGGGGCAUCCAACCUCCCCUGGGGACCAUAAGCUUGUCGUUGGAGUCCAUCACGGCCAGCACAGCAUCGUGGGCUUCCUUGGGGGUGAGAUUGGUAUGCACAUAGAACAGCGACUGCUG